This 497-nucleotide ribosomal RNA is filed under the name uncultured bacterium. Its description in RNAcentral is "partial 16S ribosomal RNA". It matches the Rfam family "Bacterial small subunit ribosomal RNA", at positions 28 to 507 of the family's 1533-position model. The record is from RNAcentral.
GAUGAACGCUGGCGGCGUGCCUAAUACAUGCAAGUCGAGCGAACGGACGAGAAGCUUGCUUCUCUGAUGUUAGCGGCGGACGGGUGAGUAACACGUGGAUAACCUACCUAUAAGACUGGGAUAACUUCGGGAAACCGGAGCUAAUACCGGAUAAUAUUUUGAACCGCAUGGUUCAAAAGUGAAAGACGGUCUUGCUGUCACUUAUAGAUGGAUCCGCGCUGCAUUAGCUAGUUGGUAAGGUAACGGCUUACCAAGGCAACGAUGCAUAGCCGACCUGAGAGGGUGAUCGGCCACACUGGAACUGAGACACGGUCCAGACUCCUACGGGAGGCAGCAGUAGGGAAUCUUCCGCAAUGGGCGAAAGCCUGACGGAGCAACGCCGCGUGAGUGAUGAAGGUCCUCGGAUCGUAAAACUCUGUUAUUAGGGAAGAACUUAUGUGUAAGUAACUGUGCACAUCUUGACGGUACCUAAUCAGAAAGCCACGGCUAACUACGUG